UUGAGGAACCCCUCGAGGAGCUGACAGCCACAAACAAACGGGGCCCGUCCCGCAGCCGCUGCGCACAGCACCCAAGCAACACCUGGACCAGCUCAGCAGCCUCCCCAGAGCUCCAGAGUCCAGCCUGGCCUUUGCAACCUGGAGGACAGAAACCAGCCUAGACAGGUCUGGGGUGGAGCCCAGGAACCUGCCAUGGAACUAGCGCUCUGGCAGGGGAUUCUGAUGGGAGCAGUGGGCAGCGAGUGCCACCUGGCCAGAAUCUGUCUCCUGGGAAGAGCCGGCCUUGCAGUCCUGUCCCUGCGCCAUUUCAGUAGCUGCUCCACAGAUGGAAGCUGUAACCAGGAAGCAGGGCCCUCAGCCCGCCUUCUGUCUCCACCUGAGCAAGUGGAAGGAAAGAAGACCAGACCAGGGAAGUGACUAGAGCAAGGGCACCCUGGAACUCAAGGCUGCUACUGACUGAUCUGCGAGAUAAAGUUCAGACAAUGACUAAUCCCAGGGGUAUUUACUCCAGGAGUUGGCUCCCCUGACCCCAGUUUGGGAAGCCCUAAGGGGAGCCCCAGGCUGGGGCCUUCCUUGAUCUCUUAGCAGCCCAUCUGAUUGUGUGACAUAAAACUGAAGUCUCUAAAGCCCUGUGGUGUCCCAGCUCUGGUUUCAUCCAGUUUAUGGUCUGCAUUUGAUGGGGUUCCUUCUUUCCUCCUGGCUUUCUCUCUCUAUACACACACCCCAGCACUGAUUCCAUGCCUGUUCUCUGCCAGGCUCUGGGCAUCUAAUCUACCAUCCAUCUAUAUGUGUGUCUAUCCACAACAUGCACGCACACACACACACUGGAUGAACAAGACCCAGUUCCUUGUCCUUGCAAGCUCUCAGUCUAGUAGGGUAGACAGAAAGACAAGGGUCUGACAUGGCUCAGGGCUGUGCCAGCAGGGGGGUAAGAGGAGACUCGGUGGGCCCCAAGGUGCCACAUCCUCCUCUGUUGCUCUUGCUGCCCCUGGCUCUCUGGGUCUGCCAAUAGUUAUGUAGUGAUUUAGGUAUAAAAAGGCAUUAUGAAAACAUUAGAACAUAUAGAAAAACAUGGAGAAAAUGGAAGCAAUUUCCUCUCCCACCCAUUGCUACCAUUGUUAACAUUUUGGCACCUGCCGGUUCUGACAUCUUGGGGUGUUGAAUAUCCUUAGUAUCUCUCUUUCUCCUGGGGUUUCACAUCAUCUUUCUUGUUCUGGUGGAGCGCACCCUCAAGUCAAUUUUGAAAAAGCUAACUUAGCCGAAAAUCUGUGUGUUUAAAAAUGUCUCUAUUGUGGACCUCCCUGGUGGCACAAGGGGUUAAGAUGCAACCUAUGAAGCAAUCUGCAGCCACUGCAGCACGAGUUUGAUCCCCGGCCAGGGAGCUACCCACAUGGCGCAGCAGACCUCUCCUGA
Molecule: long non-coding RNA, 1413 nt
Organism: Talpa occidentalis (Iberian mole)
Lineage: Eukaryota; Metazoa; Chordata; Mammalia; Eulipotyphla; Talpidae
Exons: 3
Source: RefSeq, a predicted model, not a curated record